UUUUACGGCCAUACCACCCUGAACGCGCCCGAUCUCGUCUGAUCUCGGAAGCUAAGCAGGGUCGGGCCUGGUUAGUACUUGGAUGGGAGACCGAAAGCCCUUGGACCUUCUGUG
This 114-nucleotide ribosomal RNA is filed under the name Mustela putorius furo (domestic ferret). Lineage: Eukaryota; Metazoa; Chordata; Mammalia; Carnivora; Mustelidae. The record is from RNAcentral.